RNAcentral lists this ribosomal RNA (464 nucleotides) under uncultured bacterium. RNAcentral describes it as "bacterial SSU rRNA". It matches the Rfam family "Bacterial small subunit ribosomal RNA", at positions 335 to 799 of the family's 1533-position model. The record is from RNAcentral.
AGCCUACGGGUGGCUGCAGUGAGGAAUAUUGGUCAAUGGGCGGGAGCCUGAACCAGCCAAGUCGCGUGAGGGACGACGGUCCUAUGGAUUGUAAACCUCUUUUGUCGGGGAACAAAGGCGCCCACGGGUGGGCGGAUGAGUGUACCCGAAGAAAAAGCAUCGGCUAACUCCGUGCCAGCAGCCGCGGUAAUACGGAGGAUGCGAGCGUUAUCCGGAUUUAUUGGGUUUAAAGGGUGCGUAGGCGGACGGUCAAGUCAGCGGUAAAAAUGCGGUGCUCAACGCCGUACAGCCGUUGAAACUGGCAGUCUUGAGUGGGCGAGAAGUAUGCGGAAUGCGUGGUGUAGCGGUGAAAUGCAUAGAUAUCACGCAGAACUCCGAUUGCGAAGGCAGCAUACCGGCGCCCUACUGACGCUGAGGCACGAAAGCGUGGGUAUCGAACAGGAUUAGAUACCCUAGUAGUCAGG